Molecule: RNA transcript, 1345 nt
Organism: Nymphaea colorata (pocket water lily)
Lineage: Eukaryota; Viridiplantae; Streptophyta; Magnoliopsida; Nymphaeales; Nymphaeaceae
Exons: 3
Source: RefSeq, a predicted model, not a curated record
UGAUACUGGCCCGACCCGCGAGGGCUGCGCCAGUACGCGCCAGCGAGAGAGAGAGAGACAGAGAGAGAGAGGAAAGAGAGGCGAACGAUGCUGCGCAGGGCGGCCAUUUCUCUCUGGAAAGCCUCUCUCCGCCCUCCGCCGCCGGCGCUCAUUCCGACAGAGCCGCCGUCCCUUCUGAUCCCCCGGGCCGGCGUGAGCGGCACUGCUAAGGGCAAAGGCAAGCUGAAGUCGGGCCAGCCGCUGAAGCGUUCUAAGAUCACCAAGAAGAAGGGAGCCGCCGCACCACCCCCCUCCGAGGGCCGCGGCCGAGGCGGCGAGGCCGAGCGCCUACGCCGACUGGCUGAGUCCUGUCUCAAUGCCCCCACCCCCAUCCGCUACCUCACCGAGAAGCAGCGCCGCCGCGAGGCCGAGCGCGAGAAGCUUGGCCUCAUCAGCAAGGAGCGCCAGCGCGAGCUCGAUAUGGCCAAGGCCAAGUCCAAGAAGAAAGAAGGUAGCGACGGAGCUCCGGCAACACCGCCGUGGACUCGUGAGUCCUGGAUCGGCACCCCCGGCUUGGACCCCAUCUCUUUGGGCUUGAUCGACGAGAAGGACCUUAUCAAGUACGAGCUCACCGUCGAGGACGGACGGAGGCUCGCCAAGGAGUACAGCAGGGUCCUUAUGAGGAAGACGAGGGCGCGUCAGGCCGCCGAAUCCACGCUGCUGAAGCUCAAGAAAGAGGCAAUUGCGGCGCUUCCUGACCAUCUCCGCGAGGCCGCGCUUGUCCCUGACCUCACGCCCUUCCCUGCCAAUCGGUACAUGGCGACGUUGACGCCUCCGAUUCAAGGGUAUGUGGACAAGAUCAGGGAGGCCGCGCAGAAGCACGUGGUGAAGGAGAAGCUCCGAUGACGAGGAUGGUACCCGAGGUGCUCGAGUACAAUAUCAAGCCAUGGCUUUGAAACAACAUAGAUUUUGGUGGGUAGCAUUGGUUCUAGAGCUUUUUAAUCAGUUGCAAAGAGUCUGCAAUCAUAAGUCAACAUGAAGAAAGCACAAUGAUCUUCGCUUGAAAUGUGAUUGUGUGUUUUGGUGACGUUUUCUUUGCCUCCCUAGACGAGUUUGCUUGAGCAGUUGGAAGCAUGAAUUCAAUCCGUCAAAGACAUGAGUGAAAAUUACAUCCCUAGAGAACAGCGAAGAGAUACAUCUUGUUUGAUGCAUGUAACUUGGAUGAUCUUACUCACAUUACAUUAAACCUUUGUCAAUCUGAAGUAAUGUAAUGUUUGACGUUUCCCUAGAGAUCAGUUUGCAUGGACAGCCAAUUCUGUAUUCAUAGAUAACUGCAAGUGGACAUUCUUAACUGAGUUGCUUUUCA